AAGGAUGUGAGCUCCACGAUCUGGCUGAUGACCUCAUCAGACACUGACAAGUCCAGGUACCUCAUGAUGCGCUCCACUUCACGCCGAGGAUUCUGGAGAAGUAAAUAUGAUGUAACCUUUCACAUGGUCGUACCAGGAGCCCCAGGCCACUGUAGAGACAAAAGUUACUGAGCAUCUUUCAUGGUCUAAAGCAACAUUUUCUCCUGAUUGGCAUCACCUUGACUCUGCAGCCUCGCAGGGUGCUGUUAAUCCUGUCAUGGUCAUUGAGGCAUAAGGUUCUCACAGGGAAAAACACUGAGGUCCACACACUCACAUCUGGGAGCUCAGGGUUUUCUCUUGGCUGUUGCAGCUCCAACAGAGUAGGUGAUGCCAGUGAGCCCUCUGGGGGUGUUUUGGGCCUAUCAUGGAAACACCAGUGAAGGGCACUACCCACUUGAUGACUCUAAUGAAGAUUUUACCCUCCCUAAACUUCCACCCACUCCCCCAGCAUGGCUCCAACUUUCACUCACAAGUGCUAGAAGGUCAACAACAAUCGACCAGUUUAACUCCACCUCGAUUAAAGUUAGGAGUUGAAACCAGAUUUCCAGAGUGUCAUUGACUACAAGACUCAUAAACCAUCAGACCAAUCACUAUCUAUUGAUUGGCUAUGAGACCAGGAAGUGUGAGGGGUGCACCUUCCUUCAACACAGACCCUCUUUGGCUAUUGAGGCCAUAGCAACAGCAUUGGAAGCUCCCACUGGCUCAAGUGAGGUGUCAAUCAAAAGGUCAGGAGUUUUUGUUCAUUUGGGUAGCAAGGAGUUGGCAUACUUAAACGCGAAUGGAAGAAAUUAUGAUCGUCCUGACCACUGGGAGUGCAUGAAGACAACAUGAGCACCAUUUUUAUCAGCAUGAUAUGGAUUGGUGGAUCAAAAUAAUGCUUCAUAGACCAGGAGCAGACUGAUGCACCUUUUCUCAUGAAGGAGGAGAUGGAGCGAUCAAAAACAGUCGCUGGGAUGAAGGAGUAGUUGGUCAUUGGGUUCUCCUUCAUGUUCUUAAAGGACGUGAGCUCCACAAUCCGGCUGAUGACCUCAUCAGACACUGACAAGUCCAGGUACCUCAUGAUGCGCUCCACUUCACGCCGAGGAUUCUGGAGAAGUAAAUAUGAUGGAGGCACCAGCUGAAAAGGAAGGUGUGUCUUGAUGACUCUUGGAGGAUCCAUGGUGUUAAGAAGAUCAAUACCUGAAACAUCAGUUCAGAGAAAAAGAUAUGUACAUAUGAAAGAAUUAAACUUUUGUUCAACACUAUCUCAGAUUCCAUGUUAUAAAGCUAAUAUUAGCUCUUUUUAAUGUGACAUCAUUGACUAACAAAUCUUUCUUGGUUAAUUAAUUUACUUGACAGCUUUGAACUUACCCAACAUGUAUAUGAAGCCACUCAUCAGUAUUGGUAACACUCUAACUUUGUAAUAACAGCAGGAUUAAACAUGGACAAUGAUUCAGUAUUGGAGUUACCUAUCUCUGACCAUCACUGUGUGUUUUUUGGUGCCAAACUAAACCCAACAAAGACUAAAGGUGAAGUUCUGGUUUAAAAAAAGACAUUUCAAGAUGGCAAGACUGAAGCAGAGUUCUCUGAGUCAUACAGCUAUGGCUGCUCUGUAAAUGACAUGGUUGAAAAUGUAAACAAUACUUUGUCAUCUGCCUUAAAUACUGUUGCUCCACUAAAGGCUAAAAAAAUUAGACUGACCGAAUCUCCCUAUGGUUAAACAAUAAGAGUGUUAAAGAGACUUUAAGGGAAUCUGUUGAGCAGCUGAGAGAAAAUGGAGGAAAACUACAGUUCUCUGUAAGAUAUACAAAGAAGCCAUGGCUGCCCAUAACAAGCAAUACCUCGGACAUAAAGGGAUUAGCCUACUUUCCCAAAAAAAUCACAAACCAUACUGGGAAGUCCAGAAUAGAUUAGCUACUCAACACUGCCCCCACCUGUCUGCAGUUCUCUGCAUCACAGAGUGAAGAACUUGCAUUGUUCUUAAAAACCUCAAUAACUUCAGUUAGAGCUGUUAUUACUGCUGAUGUAAAGGCAGAUGACAUCAGUAAACCAUCAAACAAAGAUGUAAUCAUGGGGAAAUUGAGUUUUGUGACAUUACCUGAGCUUUGCAAGACUGUCACUCAGUGUAACUCCUUGACCCCAUGUAUCGACUUUGUACCUACAACAUUUCUAAGAGGGCGCUCGACAGUGUUUCAAGUCAAGCCCUGAAGAUUGGAAAUUCAGGCACCUCCCCAGGUGCCUUCAAAACAGCUGCUGUAAUACUAGAGAAACCAAACCCAGAUGUACAUGCACUGACCAGUUAUAGGUCGAUAGGCAACCUCUCAUUCAUUGGUACAAGACUUGUAAAAAGUAGUUUCAGUGCAACAUAAACUCCUUUCUAAAAGAGAAUAGUAUCUUGGAAGGAUUUCUAUCAGGCUUUAGAACAUACCACAACACUGAAACUGCUCAUUUCUUGUCGUCUUAAGGCCCUGGCUAACCAAGCCAACGAUUGGCCAUGCCCAAGUAGUUGUGGUGUGUAUAUUCCUAUUCUUAUUCUCAUUGUGCUCAUGCUACAUGAGUCCCACACCAUCUGCACAGAGAUGAAUGGAUAUCAGAUAAAUAACUUAAAACUAGCACCACUGCAGUUGCGUUUUAAGAGAAUAGGAGUGUGUUCAAAUAAAAGAGGCUUGGCACAUAAACAUAAUCGCCUUAAUACACACCUGAGGGGAUGGGUGGUGGGGAGA
Long non-coding RNA from Epinephelus lanceolatus (giant grouper), 2741 nucleotides. RefSeq lists it as uncharacterized. The record is from RefSeq and is a predicted model, not a curated record. Lineage: Eukaryota; Metazoa; Chordata; Actinopteri; Perciformes; Serranidae.